UACGUAGGGGCGAGCGUUGUCCGGAAUGAUUGGGCGUAAAGGGCGCGUAGGCGGCCUAUCAAGUCACUAGUGGAAGUCCAGCUUUCAAGGUUGGAAGUGCUAUUGAAACUGAGGGGCUUGAGUGCAGGAGAGGUUAUCGGAAUUCCCGGUGUAGCGGUGAAAUGCGUAGAGAUCGGGAGGAACACCAGUGGCGAAGGCGGGUAACUGGACUGCAACUGACGCUGAUGCGCGAAAGUGUGGGGAGCAAACAGGAUUAGAUACCCCUGUAGU
RNAcentral lists this ribosomal RNA (270 nucleotides) under uncultured prokaryote. RNAcentral's name for it is "partial 16S ribosomal RNA". It matches the Rfam family "Bacterial small subunit ribosomal RNA", at positions 524 to 794 of the family's 1533-position model. The record is from RNAcentral.